This is a long non-coding RNA of Malurus melanocephalus (red-backed fairy wren), 229 nucleotides long. RefSeq lists it as uncharacterized. The record is from RefSeq and is a predicted model, not a curated record. Lineage: Eukaryota; Metazoa; Chordata; Aves; Passeriformes; Maluridae. The transcript has 3 exons.
ACGAGUCCGAGUUCCGGGACAAGCUGUCGCCCAUCCCGGUGUCGCUGAGCCUGGCCCUGGACCCGGCCGUGUCCCCUCCCCCGCCCGGGCUGUCCCCGCUGCUGUCCCCGGCCACGCGCACGCGCCUGGAGGCCAAGGCUCACAUCCAGCUGGACUGUGGAGAGGACAAUGUCUGUGUCCCCGACCUGCAGCUCGAGGCCACCGCGGACCGGCGGGCCGUGUACCGGGG